CAGUCGCCGCGGUAAAACGUAGGGUGCAAGCGUUAAUCGGAAUUACUGGGCGUAAAGCGUGCGCAGGCGGUUAUAUAAGACAGAUGUGAAAUCCCCGGGCUCAACCUGGGAACUGCAUUUGUGACUGUAUAGCUAGAGUACGGCAGAGGGGGAUGGAAUUCCGCGUGUAGCAGUGAAAUGCGUAGAUAUGCGGAGGAACACCGAUGGCGAAGGCAAUCCCCUGGGCCUGUACUGACGCUCAUGCACGAAAGCGUGGGGAGCAAACAGGAUUAGAGACCCCCGUAGUCCCUGUCUCUUAUAC
RNAcentral lists this ribosomal RNA (301 nucleotides) under uncultured bacterium. RNAcentral's name for it is "partial 16S ribosomal RNA". It matches the Rfam family "Bacterial small subunit ribosomal RNA", at positions 509 to 807 of the family's 1533-position model. The record is from RNAcentral.